GGACGGAACUGCCGGUCGAUAAACCGGAGGAAGGUCGGGGAUGACGUCAAGUCCUCAUGGCCCUUAUGUCCAGGGCUACACACGUGCUACAAUGGCCGGUACAAAGGGCUGCAAGACCGUGAGGUUGAGCGAAUCCCAGAAAGCCGGUCUCAGUUCGGAUUGGAGUCUGCAACUCGACUCCAUGAAGUUGGAAUCGCUAGUAAUCGCGGAUCAGCAUGCCGCGGUGAAUACGUUCCCGGGCCUU
This 244-nucleotide ribosomal RNA is filed under the name uncultured Desulfuromonas sp. RNAcentral's name for it is "partial 16S ribosomal RNA". It matches the Rfam family "Bacterial small subunit ribosomal RNA", at positions 1141 to 1382 of the family's 1533-position model. Lineage: Bacteria; Pseudomonadati; Thermodesulfobacteriota; Desulfuromonadia; Desulfuromonadales; Desulfuromonadaceae. The record is from RNAcentral.